Camelus dromedarius (Arabian camel) is the source of this 1372-nucleotide long non-coding RNA. RefSeq lists it as uncharacterized. NCBI's taxonomy places the organism in Eukaryota, Metazoa, Chordata, Mammalia, Artiodactyla, Camelidae. The record is from RefSeq and is a predicted model, not a curated record. The transcript is spliced from 3 exons.
GCUUUCGCCACGGAGAUCACAACCCGGACUGGGUCCCGCUCCCUCGAGGAGAGGGCAUCCCUACUGCAGGAGCCCCAGCCAAGCGUCCGUGCUGCGGGCGAGCAGGAGGGGGAGGGGCGCACACAGCCGUGCACGAGCGCGCCCAGAACGUGAGGACGCUGGGUGGGAUCUGGGUGCUCCUGGACCAGCUCCCGGAGGAGGAAGGCGGCCUGGGGUCUGGGCUGCCCGCCGCUUGCUGUCGCCCCUGCUGCUGUCGCGGGACAGGACUCUCCCUCCUGUUUUCCACAGUGGCUGCACCAAACGACAUUCCCACCGACAGUGUAGGAGGGUUCCCUUUUCUCCACAGCCUCUGUAGCAUUGAUCCUUUGUGGACUUUUCAAUGAUGGCCAUUCUGAGGUGAGCUGACACCUCAUUGUAGUUUUGACUUGUAUUUCUUUGGUAACUAGCAACAUUGAGCCUUUUUUCAUGUGCCUCUUACUGGUCACUGGUAUGUCGUCAUUGCAGAAUUGCUUCUUGUCUUCUGCCCAUUUUUGGAUUGGGUUGUCUUGCGAUUAUUCAGUUGUAUGAUCUGUUUCUAUAUUCUGGAAAUUAACCCCUAGUCAGUCUCAUGUUUGGCAAAUAUUGUCUCCCAUUUCAUAGGCUGUCAUUUUGUUCUGCUUGUGGUUUCCUUUGCUGUCAAAAGCUGAUGAAUUUUGUUUGGUGCCAUUUUUGUGUUUAUUUGUGCUUUUAUUUCUAUUGCUUGGGUAGACUCUCCUAGGAGAACAUCACUGAGGUGUAUGUCAGAUAAUGUUUGGCAUAUAUUUUCUAUGCAGAAACCAAAUGGUUAACUCUGAGAAAGGAAAUACAGUGCUUGAAAUAAGAAUUUUACUUGAUGACAUUAAUAGAUAUUAUAAUUCAUGGGGAAUAAAAUAAUUUUUAUUUAUAAAAAUAAAACAAACUGAAACAGACGGAAAGAUACUGAAGACAGGAGUAGAUUAAAAAUUUGUAGGCCAAUGUUAAUGAAUGUAACAUGUAUAAUUCAAGUUGAGAAGGAAGAGAGAAUUUAGGGGUGAGGCAGGGAGAUAGGAGGGGAAAAAAGUACAAAAAUGUAUAUUUGAUUAUAAUAAAACAGGUCAGUAAUCAACAACAGGGAGAAAAACAAAGGAAGCCACACGAAGGAUCAUAACAGUUUUAUUGCUCAGAAUAACUAAUAUGAAGAACUCAAAAAAGCAGCUGUUGUGAAAGAUAUAGGAGCAAUUAUUGACUCCUCAAAGGAAACUAUGCAAACGGGAAGACAGCAGAAAAUUUAAUUUUAAAGAAGAGAUUCACUGAAACGGGAACCAGGUUGCAAGUUAAUCCAGUUCUGGGUGAGAUGUGGUUCUGACAGCAGAAC